AUGCCAAGCACAUGCCAAAGGCUGUUCCUUUCCUUCUGUCAGAGCAGAGCCAGCGCCCUUCCCUUCCCUCCCCUUCCCUCGGACUCUUCGACCGGCUUCACCAAAGCAUUCCCUCCCCCAAAAUCACCCAAAGCCCUCUCCGGCCCGCUCUCCUCUUCAGCUGCUACCAAAUCCAUCGCCGCCGCCGCCUCCGCGGAAAUGCUGCUCCCGCUCCGUCGCCUCUCCGGCCACCUCCGCCGCGCCGCCUCCGCCUCCGCGCUGCUCCCGCCCCGUGGCCUGCACGGCCACCUCCGUCGCCCCCUCUCCGCCGCCUCGCCCCCUCCCUGGGCGAUGAUCUACCGCAUAUCGGUCACGCCGAACACCACCCGAGACGCGUCCUUCUGGCUCGCGCCGCCGCCGUCAGCCACUCUCUUCUCCCUCCCCGAGCGGGUGUUCAGCAGCAUGGAGCACCCCCGCGCCGGCGGGUACACCGACAACUACGCCAGCGUCGUCUUCGCCUCGAGCGGCGACGGCCUCCUCCUCCUCAAAGCUACCUGGCAUCGCUUCAGCGCUCACGCCAGCCUGGACAGCCCAAGGCCAAGGGAAGUGCUCGCCAAGGAGGAGCACGUGCUCUACGUGUGCAACCCCGUUACCGGUCAGCUGGUCCGCCUCCCGCCCUCCUGGGGCACGAAGCAUUUGACAACGGCCACGGGGCUCCUCACCCAAGCCGACCGUGGGCGCGGGCCGCCUAAGAGGUACGCCGCCGCCGAGCUCAUCGAGGCGCUCAAGGACGACGUGGUGCACUUCGUGUUGUGUCGGUUCCGCUCCGAGACUGGAAAGUGGGACGUCAAGGAGCGGCUGUCCCCGCUGCCGCCUGGGCGACUGAUGCGCAUGAGGAAUCACGAAGUGCUGGCUUUCGCAGGCCGUCUGUGGUGGGUGGACGUGAGCUGGGGCGCCGUCUCCGCCGACCCGUUCAAGGACGAGCCUCAGCUCGGCCAUGUCAAGCUGCCGGAAGGCAGCGAGCUUCCUGACCAAGACGCCAAUGAGGGGUUAGAGCUUACCAAGCACAGACGCAUGGGGGUCAGCGACGGCAGACUGCUAUAUGUGGAGGUUUCAGAGGAGGAGCCAUUUCAGAUCAAGUCGUUCGUGCUGGAUGGUGAGAGCGGCCCCUGGGCGCUGCAGCACCAGGUGUCUCUUGACACGCUGUGGCCCAAUGGUGGGGAUGGUACCAAGGAGAGGCCUUUGGUUGUGGCCAUUGAUCCCCUCAACACUGACCUGCUGUACCUCAACAUGGGCAGUGAAGAAAUUGUUAGCGUCGACUUGCGCAGGAACAGGGUCAUUGGUGCGUAUUCUGUGUUGAGCAGUGACAUUCCUACAAGAUGCCGCUUGGCAAAUAUCUUCCUGCCAUGCGUGCUUCCUUCAUUCCUCGGAUCAAGCCUGAUUCCAGGCAAGCGGAAAACUAUAGCGGAUACUCUGGUUCGUGUAGACAGUUGCAAGAAAUGA
RNAcentral lists this ribosomal RNA (1482 nucleotides) under Triticum aestivum (bread wheat). RNAcentral describes it as "partial small subunit ribosomal RNA". Lineage: Eukaryota; Viridiplantae; Streptophyta; Magnoliopsida; Poales; Poaceae. The record is from RNAcentral.